Molecule: ribosomal RNA, 693 nt
Filed under: uncultured Sedimentibacter sp.
Lineage: Bacteria; Bacillati; Bacillota; Tissierellia
Description: bacterial SSU rRNA
Rfam family: Bacterial small subunit ribosomal RNA
Source: RNAcentral
GGCGCCUGUAGAGAGUGCUGGUGUUGGGAGCGAUAUUCAGUGCCGAAGUUAACACAAUAAGCACUCCGCCUGGGGAGUACGGUCGCAAGACUGAAACUCAAAGGAAUUGACGGGGACCCGCACAAGCAGCGGAGCAUGUGGUUUAAUUCGAAGCAACGCGAAGAACCUUACCAAGGUUUGACAUCCCCUUGACAGAUGCAGAGAUGUGUCCUCCCCUUCGGGGGCAAGGGAGACAGGUGGUGCAUGGUUGUCGUCAGCUCGUGUCGUGAGAUGUUGGGUUAAGUCCCGCAACGAGCGCAACCCUUAUCCUUAGUUGCCAGCAAGUAAUGUUGGGCACUCUAAGGAGACUGCCGGUGAUAAACCGGAGGAAGGUGGGGAUGACGUCAAAUCAUCAUGCCCCUUAUAUCUUGGGCUACACACGUGCUACAAUGGUCGGUACAAAGGGAAGCGAAGGAGUGAUCUGGAGCAAAUCCCAAUAAACCGAUCCCAGUUCGGAUUGUAGGCUGCAACUCGCCUACAUGAAGUUGGAGUUGCUAGUAAUCGCGAAUCAGAACGUCGCGGUGAAUGCGUUCCCGGGUCUUGUACACACCGCCCGUCACACCAUGGAAGUUGGUAAUACCCAAAGUCGCUGAGCUAACCGCAAGGAGGCAGGCGCCUAAGGUAGGAUCAAUGACUGGGGUGAAGUCGUAACAA